This 485-nucleotide ribosomal RNA is filed under the name Epinephelus fuscoguttatus (brown-marbled grouper). RNAcentral describes it as "partial 16S ribosomal RNA". It matches the Rfam family "Bacterial large subunit ribosomal RNA", at positions 1946 to 2577 of the family's 2925-position model. Lineage: Eukaryota; Metazoa; Chordata; Actinopteri; Perciformes; Serranidae. The record is from RNAcentral.
CCGUGCGAAGGUAGCGCAAUCACUUGUCUUUUAAAUGGGGACCUGUAUGAAUGGCAUAACGAGGGCUUAACUGUCUCCUCUUUCAAGUCAAUGAAAUUGAUCUCCCCGUGCAGAAGCGAGGAUAGAUACAUAAGACGAGAAGACCCUAUGGAGCUUUAUAACACUAAAGCAGAUCAGUAUUAUUACCCUGAACAUAGGCUACGAAUAAACUGCCCCCUGCCCUCAUGUCUUUGGUUGGGGCGACCGCGGAGAAAAAUAAAACCCCCGCAAGACUCAAUGUACUACAAUUCACAAACAAGAGCGACAGCUCUAACUUACAGAACUUCUGAACCAAUAAGAUCCGGCAAUGCCGAUCAAUGGAACCGAGUUACCCUAGGAUUACAGCGCCAAUCUCCUCUUUACAGCCCCAUAUCGAACAGGGGGUUUACGAACUCGAUGUUGGAUCCAGGACAUCCUAAUGGUGCAGCGGCUAUUCAAGGUUCGUU